RNAcentral lists this ribosomal RNA (482 nucleotides) under uncultured bacterium. RNAcentral's name for it is "partial 16S ribosomal RNA". It matches the Rfam family "Bacterial small subunit ribosomal RNA", at positions 30 to 507 of the family's 1533-position model. The record is from RNAcentral.
AUUGAACGCUGGCGGCAUGCCUUACACAUGCAAGUCGAACGGUAACAGGUCUUCGGAUGCUGACGAGUGGCGAACGGGUGAGUAAUACAUCGGAACGUGCCCGAUCGUGGGGGAUAACGCAGCGAAAGCUGUGCUAAUACCGCAUACGAUCUACGGAUGAAAGCGGGGGAUCGCAAGACCUCGCGCGGACGGAGCGGCCGAUGGCAGAUUAGGUAGUUGGUGGGAUAAAAGCUUACCAAGCCGACGAUCUGUAGCUGGUCUGAGAGGACGACCAGCCACACUGGGACUGAGACACGGCCCAGACUCCUACGGGAGGCAGCAGUGGGGAAUUUUGGACAACGGGCGCAAGCCUGAUCCAGCCAUGCCGCGUGCAGGAUGAAGGCCUUCGGGUUGUAAACUGCUUUUGUACGGAACGAAAAAGCUCUCUCUAAUACAGGGGGUGAAUGACGGUACCGUAAGAAUAAGCACCGGCUAACUACGUG